UACGGAGGGGACUAGCGUUGUUCGGAAUUACUGGGCGUAAAGCGCGCGUAGGCGGUUUUGCAAGUCGGGGGUGAAAGCCCGAGGCUCAACCUCGGAACUGCCCUCGAUACUGCAAAUCUCGAGUCCGAGAGAGGUGAGUGGAAUUCCUAGUGUAGAGGUGAAAUUCGUAGAUAUUAGGAAGAACACCAGUGGCGAAGGCGGCUCACUGGCUCGGUACUGACGCUGAGGCGCGAAAGCGUGGGGAGCAAACAGG
RNAcentral lists this ribosomal RNA (253 nucleotides) under uncultured bacterium. Its description in RNAcentral is "partial 16S ribosomal RNA". It matches the Rfam family "Bacterial small subunit ribosomal RNA", at positions 524 to 776 of the family's 1533-position model. The record is from RNAcentral.